AAUAUAUUUUUUUCUUCUUUAUUGCAGCUGUACAUUUUGGAAAGAUUUUCUACACUCAUUCCCAAACUUAAUUUUUAAAGUGAUAGGAUCACGUUUCAUCUGAAAGUCAAGAAUUUGAAAUCCGUGGCUGAAUGCAUCUCCCAGAAUCUCCCGUUAGAAAUGAGCAAAGCCAUCAGAAAUCUGAGACAGUGUCUACCCCAAGACAGCUUACAUGAAUGAAACCUGAACUGAACUAAAUAUUAACAAUGAUAUCAUCAAUAGGAAUCAUGCUUCUCCAGGAAGGCAAGCCAUCUUUCUUACCACAGGAAUGCUCCAUAAGUAUCUGCAUCAGCAGCAGUACAUGCUUUAGAGACCUGGAGAAAUAA
RNAcentral lists this long non-coding RNA (365 nucleotides) under Chrysolophus pictus (golden pheasant). Its description in RNAcentral is "lncRNA (ENSCPIG00010000548.1)". The record is from RNAcentral. Lineage: Eukaryota; Metazoa; Chordata; Aves; Galliformes; Phasianidae.